UACAGAGGGGGCAAGCGUUGUUCGGAAUUACUGGGCGUAAAGGGCGCGUAGGCGGCCUUCUAAGUCAAACGUGAAAUCCCCGGGCUCAACCCGGGAACUGCGUCCGAUACUGGAAGGCUUGAAUCCGGGAGAGGGAUGUGGAAUUCCAGGUGUAGCGGUGAAAUGCGUAGAUAUCUGGAGGAACACCGGUGGCGAAGGCGGCUCACUGGCUCGGUACUGACGCUGAGGUGCGAAAGCGUGGGGAGCAAACAGG
Molecule: ribosomal RNA, 253 nt
Filed under: uncultured bacterium
Lineage: Bacteria
Description: partial 16S ribosomal RNA
Rfam family: Bacterial small subunit ribosomal RNA
Source: RNAcentral